AGGAUUGAUUGAGGAAGCCCAAGGCUCCAAAUCUAUUCUUGAACCAGGCUGCACAACCAAAAGGUAACAUUUUAUCUUAUUAUAAACCAAGUUUGUUGGGCUGAGGCCCAACAAGCCAUUUCUUUCAAAAUACAUCAAGUUUUAUGAAGGGAAACGGAAGCAAAUAUUGUAGAUCGCAUAAAGGCCCAACCAUAGGUGAAAAUGGUUAACUAGGGGCUUGGUACGCCCCUAGCCUAACUUACCUUUACCUUAUCAAUUUACAUCUCAAGGGUGUAUUGUAUUUGUCAUGUUUGUAACUAACACAUUGUUAGUGGAAUCCCUUAUGGCUGAACUAGA
This is a long non-coding RNA of Lycium ferocissimum, 336 nucleotides long. RefSeq lists it as uncharacterized. The transcript is spliced from 2 exons. The record is from RefSeq and is a predicted model, not a curated record. Lineage: Eukaryota; Viridiplantae; Streptophyta; Magnoliopsida; Solanales; Solanaceae.